UACGUAGGGGGCAAGCGUUGUCCGGAUUUAUUGGGCGUAAAGAGCGUGUAGGCGGCCUGACAAGUCUGCUGUGAAAACUCGAGGCUCAACCUCGAGAUGUCGGCGGAAACUGUCUGGCUUGAGUCCGGAAGAGGAGAGUGGAAUUCCUGGUGUAGCGGUGAAAUGCGCAGAUAUCAGGAGGAACACCGGUGGCGAAGGCGGGUCUCUGGGCCGAUACUGACGCUGAGGAGCGAAAGCGUGGGGAGCGAACAGG
RNAcentral lists this ribosomal RNA (253 nucleotides) under uncultured bacterium. RNAcentral describes it as "partial 16S ribosomal RNA". It matches the Rfam family "Bacterial small subunit ribosomal RNA", at positions 524 to 776 of the family's 1533-position model. The record is from RNAcentral.